RNAcentral lists this long non-coding RNA (774 nucleotides) under Arabidopsis thaliana (thale cress). RNAcentral describes it as "long non-coding RNA (ATHA_LNC000187)". Lineage: Eukaryota; Viridiplantae; Streptophyta; Magnoliopsida; Brassicales; Brassicaceae. The record is from RNAcentral.
UUUAGUCCAAGAUUAUUUGCCUGACGAGGUGCAUCACUACAUUUCCUAUGGAUUCCGUUCCAUCUUUGGUUACUUCUCAUCCCAAAUGACGAUAAUCAUCGAAGAAUUUGAAGGUUUUGCUCACAAUGAAGUCUUUGAAGCUGCAGAGGCCUAUCUAGCCACCAAGAUCUCUCCUUCUAACAAAAGAAUCAAAGUGAGUAAACAUGAGAAAGAAAACAACUACAAUGUCACCGUGGAGCGUGACGAAGAAGUUGUUGACACCUACAAUGGCGUCAAAUUCCAGUGGAUCCUCCAUUGUCGUCAUGUCGAGUCCAAGCACUUCCACAACCCACGGGAUCUAAACUCCACACUGAGAUCUGAGGUCCGAUCAUUCGAACUCAACUUCCACAAGAAAUUCAAAGACGUAGCUCUUGAAUCUUACUUGCCAUUCAUGGUGAAAAGAGCCACGUUGAUGAAGCAAGAGAAGAAAACACUCAAGAUCUUCACUCUCUCCCCAGAAAACAUGUAUGGGAACUACUCUGACGCGUGGACCUCUGUUACUCUUGACCAUCCUUCUACCUUCAAAACUCUAGCAAUGGAUUCAGAUGUCAAGACAAGUGUGAUGGAAGAUCUAGACAAAUUCGUAAAGCGAAGAGACUUCUAUAAAAGGGUUGGUAAAGCUUGGAAGAGAGGUUACUUGCUGUACGGUCCACCAGGCACAGGGAAGUCAAGCUUGAUCGCAGCCAUGGCCAAUCAUCUCAACUUUGAUAUAUACGACCUAGAGUUGACCGCGGU